RNAcentral lists this long non-coding RNA (897 nucleotides) under Felis catus (domestic cat). RNAcentral's name for it is "lncRNA (ENSFCAG00000048438.1)". Lineage: Eukaryota; Metazoa; Chordata; Mammalia; Carnivora; Felidae. The record is from RNAcentral.
AGUCAGCCCCCAACCAACUGAGCCAUCCAGGCGCCCCUAUGUAUAAGAUUUAAAUACAACAUUGUCACCACUUCAUUGAGAUAAGAGGAAAGAGGUGUCAGUGGGCCACAGGUUUAAUUCAGACACUUGGCACUGAGAGAGUUAUGAGGGCAGAUAAAACAUGAUGAUGGUAUCCUUUGAGAGGAAGAAGACUGACCUAAGAAAAUAUGGAGAACUCUUGAAAUGUGGGUUCACAAAUGGGAGGGAGUUCUUUUUGUCACUCCAAAGGCUUAGGAACCUACACGUGAUGAGCAAAUGUGACAGAGAUGGAGACCUGGGAAAUGUGGGUUUCAGAGAAGUCAGUUCCUAUCUUCAUGAGUUCAUAAAUUCUAUGUAUUGCUGAGGACAGGGGAUGCCGGAUGACAAAGAUUCCUGUGCUUUUCAGGCCAAAAUCAGUUGUGGUGGAUGGAGAGGGUUUGCUGGAAGAUGCAAAUGUUGUGGGCAUAGCUUUCCAAUGUCACAUGGCAGAGUAGAUACAGGAAAUGAGGAAGCCUUGUGGACCCUGGCAGGAGCAGCAAACUGCACUGACCUUCCACAAAGCACUAGAAUCUUAGGUUUAUAAACGCAUGUUGGUCUGAUCCACUGUAGAUGGAUGACAUUCCAGUGAAGCUGAUCCACAGCUGGGAGGAAAACUCAGUCCUGCUUGAGCCCCAUGAUGAGUGUUCUACUCAGGAUUGUGCAAGGUCUUGCUCUCUCUGGAUCUGGUCAAGAUUUCUGGAAAAGGAAAGAGCCCUGACAUGUGAAGAGCAAGGAGACAUUACCCACACAUGCAGUACCCUUCUAGUACUAUUCCAAAAUUUACAAGUACUCCAGAUGAUUCUGAUGAAAGCUAACUUUGACAGCCUCUGCAGGAACUAA